Molecule: ribosomal RNA, 497 nt
Filed under: uncultured bacterium
Lineage: Bacteria
Description: partial 16S ribosomal RNA
Rfam family: Bacterial small subunit ribosomal RNA
Source: RNAcentral
GAUGAACGCUGGCGGCGUGCCUAAUACAUGCAAGUCGAGCGAACAGACGAGGAGCUUGCUCCUCUGACGUUAGCGGCGGACGGGUGAGUAACACGUGGAUAACCUACCUAUAAGACUGGGAUAACUUCGGGAAACCGGAGCUAAUACCGGAUAAUAUAUUGAACCGCAUGGUUCAAUAGUGAAAGACGGUUUUGCUGUCACUUAUAGAUGGAUCCGCGCCGCAUUAGCUAGUUGGUAAGGUAACGGCUUACCAAGGCAACGAUGCGUAGCCGACCUGAGAGGGUGAUCGGCCACACUGGAACUGAGACACGGUCCAGACUCCUACGGGAGGCAGCAGUAGGGAAUCUUCCGCAAUGGGCGAAAGCCUGACGGAGCAAGGCCGCGUGAGUGAUGAAGGUCUUCGGAUCGUAAAACUCUGUUAUUAGGGAAGAACAAAUGUGUAAGUAACUAUGCACGUCUUGACGGUACCUAAUCAGAAAGCCACGGCUAACUACGUG